Molecule: long non-coding RNA, 1345 nt
Organism: Cottoperca gobio
Lineage: Eukaryota; Metazoa; Chordata; Actinopteri; Perciformes; Bovichtidae
Exons: 5
Source: RefSeq, a predicted model, not a curated record
AGUCUAGCCGUGACGUCACGCGUCGUAUCCCGUGCGCUCCCCUGAGCGCGUGGUCCUGGUCGCGAGCACAUGGAAGUGAGGUCGAGAUUUGUGUCUGUGAGACGCGCGACUGAUCAUCAGAAAAAAAGGAAUAUAAAAGCGAUAAAACGGCAACAAAUACUAAAGUUGAAGCGGUCUGGUGUAGAGGCUCAUUGACGGUUGUUUGGCUGGAUGCAAUUGUUCGAUCCUCCAUCUCAAUGAUUCAAGUGGGCUGUUAAGAAAGUGUGAAGGCUGCCGACCUCCAAACGAAUCUGGCAGCAGGCACGUCUGCGACUGUCACACGGCGUGUUUAGGUGUCACAGGACAUCCUCUGACACCUGGUGUACAUGCAGCUCGGCCCUCCUUCAGACAGCCUUGGGGUUGUCACUCAGGAUCUCCAGUUGUCUGUGUGGAUGUAAGAAGGCAGGCGGUAAAGAGUUGAGGAAGUCUGCAAGAUAACCCAUAAUACACCAGUCAGAGUUAUGCAUCGUCUCGCGACAGGAAAGAUGCAUUAAGAGCUCAGCCUUCGUUCCUUUCCACUUGGAUCUGAUGGGGAGCCUUGAACACACUGAUCCCGCUCCCUUUUGAUGUGCUGACUGUCUGUCCCGGGGGUGGUUUUGAUUGCCUCUUUACUCCCCUCCUAUGCUGGGUGGUUGUUGCAGACCCUCCUGCAGUCCCACGUCUUACUGCAGCUGUCGUGCUUAUAGACUACUGAAGAUACUGAUCUGAAUGGGAAGGAUGCAAAGGUGGAAGCAGUCAGUGAUGGAUUUGGUUUCACUCUCUCAAUGGAACACACACACACAUACUGACAUACUGCAUGGUUUUUAAUACUACCUACUUCCCCCUUUCUUUGAGAGGACACAGAUACACCCUGCAUGGGCCCCCGUGGUGAUCUACAUUGUGGUUGGGAAGUACCUAGUUUUACAACUGCCAUGCUGGUCUGCUUGAAGGGACAAUGCUGAUCACUUUCAUGUCCACUACGUUCAGCACUUUUCACUUACCUGUAUUGUUUGAUGUUGUCACAGUAAUAGCGAGUGAGCAAUUUGUCUGUGCAGAGUUUCUGUAUUACACACUGCCGUUGGAGAAGUCUACUCAAAUGUUCUCAUCUUGAUGAAUCUGUUAUUGCUGGGAUCAUGAGAGUACUGAGCCAGAAUACAGAAUGUGUGAUAUAGUGAAAAUGAAGUCUAACCACAAUGAGGUGAAAGAGUUUUUGCAAUAGUUAAUUAAAAGAAAACCACAUUUCUGUCUUCCACAUAUGUCUUUUCUGUCACUUUACACUGUUGUAUGUUUGUGAAAAAGCUGCACACUGAAUAAAUCUUUCACGCUG